Molecule: long non-coding RNA, 464 nt
Organism: Larimichthys crocea (large yellow croaker)
Lineage: Eukaryota; Metazoa; Chordata; Actinopteri; Sciaenidae
Exons: 4
Source: RefSeq, a predicted model, not a curated record
GGACGUAGGAAAGAUGGCAGAAAAGGCGCCGAGGAAUUUCCUGGCCACCCACUCACUGGGGCGACUCUCCUGCCUGUCUACCAACAAAACCCUGAUGGAGAAAAACACAAAGGAAGAAUCUAUACAUUUGUGCAACCAUGCAGAAGAUGUGAAGGGUGGAAAGGAGGCAGCAGCUAGUACUUACGUCAAAGUGUCUGACAGAAGUCAUUGGGAGUGAAUGCAGCAGCGCGGGGGCCUGCGAGCCGACUGGUUUCUUUCUGGCAGUGGGGACGGGUGUCUAAUGGGUCAAUAAUAAGCCGUGACUAACCGUCUCCCUGAGGAGCAGCUUGGCCAGACACACACUCACAAGAAAGCAGCAGAAAGCAAUCACACAGGCAACUUCAGCUGCAAGAGGAGGAAGAAGAGCAGAGAUCAGCUGGCUGUUCAUCCAUCCAUCCAUCCAUCCAUCCUGCAGAAGACUGCUG